This 240-nucleotide unclassified non-coding RNA is filed under the name soil metagenome. RNAcentral describes it as "partial contains 5.8S ribosomal RNA, internal transcribed spacer 2, and large subunit ribosomal RNA". The record is from RNAcentral.
AACUGAUACUACCUGCGGGAACCUGCGGAGGGAUCAUUAUUGAAAUAAAAAUUGGUGUCGAGUUGUUGCUGGCUUUUCGGAGUAAUAGUGCACGCUCAAACCAUUUUUAUAAUAGACCCCAGUGCACCUUUGUAGAUUCCCCCUGCUAAAGUACUUGAAGGUUGAUACUUCUCGUAUUAUAAAAGGGGAUCUAUGUCUUUAUAUACCCCAUAAUAGUUGCAGAAUGUGUUGGUUAAUAGG